GCACCAUGAUUUCUAAAAGGUGAGGAAAUCACUUGCUUGACUGCUUCAGUGCAGCUUGCCAUUUUUUUUGAGAUUUCUUAGUUUAGUUAGAAAUGUUCAAUUUGGAUUUGCACCACAAUUUCUAAUCAUUCAAUGAAGGUUUGACUUUUUUGUAUCCAUUUAUGCUGCUUCAUCUACAGUGAGUUUUAAGAUAUAUUUGAUGUGGACUGCUUCAUAGCAUCAUUGAGAGGACGUUUGAAUGCGGAAAGAGUUGACUCCAUUCUGCCCGUCAGUUGGUAUUACCAUAAUCAGCUUUGCUUGAAUCUCUGAAUUAUAUGCACAUCUAGAUAAGGAUUGUCGGUGUUUAUUUUGGAGAAAAUAGAUUCAAAAGAUAUCAAUUAGAUAAUGAUUUGUCUUUCCAUGUACAUACUAUUGUUGUAUGAGAUUCUUUCUACGCAUAAUAUAUACUACUUUUGGGUUUGUUACUCAGUAUCUAUAAACCACUCGGAAUUAUAGGAGUACCUCUAACUAAACAAAUGGUUAUUUUAAAGGUUAAACUACUGCAUACUCUGGUGUCAUGAUCUUGUCGCUCAUGUACUGGAUUUAGAAAUUGGAAAGUCAAAAAAAAGGAAACUAAUGCUAUUGACCCCAGUUAGACCAUUUUGCUGAAGACUCGAAGAAUCUAAACUAGCCAUCACUGAUGGAAGCUCUUCCUCUUUGGUGGUGGACAGAAGGAGCACGGGUGCCCGGGACGACGACAACGACAAGCCAAAGGAGACACCGUGGAUUCGUUGCCCGCUUCCGCUGCUGCUCGUGCAGACUCUGCACCAACCCGGCCUUGAACUACCCCAUCUUAUAUACACAACGCCCCCAAUUUUUAGGUACGAUGCCCUCUCCAGUCCCACUGUUUUCGCUGUUUAGUCUGAUGAUUUCCGCAGAUCCGUGGGUUUCUCAUGUGUGCAUUUUCCCUUUAUUCUUGUAGCCACCAAGGCCAUGGACUGGGACCUGUGUGUUCAUUUGAAGUGUUGGUUUGAGAGAUUUUUGUGCCCUGACAAUGAGUGAGGCACUUGUGAUAUUGCAAGUCCUGAUACAAGGCAUGUCCUCUUUUUUAUCCAUAAACUUUGCAAUGUCCAUCUAUUGUACUCCCUNNN
RNAcentral lists this long non-coding RNA (1130 nucleotides) under Triticum aestivum (bread wheat). RNAcentral's name for it is "long non-coding RNA (TAES_LNC006046)". The record is from RNAcentral. Lineage: Eukaryota; Viridiplantae; Streptophyta; Magnoliopsida; Poales; Poaceae.